RNAcentral lists this ribosomal RNA (665 nucleotides) under Bacillus licheniformis. Its description in RNAcentral is "bacterial SSU rRNA". It matches the Rfam family "Bacterial small subunit ribosomal RNA", at positions 28 to 674 of the family's 1533-position model. The record is from RNAcentral. Lineage: Bacteria; Bacillati; Bacillota; Bacilli; Caryophanales; Bacillaceae.
GACGAACGCUGGCGGCGUGCCUAAUACAUGCAAGUCGAGCGGACCGACGGGAGCUUGCUCCCUUAGGUCAGCGGCGGACGGGUGAGUAACACGUGGGUAACCUGCCUGUAAGACUGGGAUAACUCCGGGAAACCGGGGCUAAUACGGGAUGCUUGAUUGAACCGCAUGGUUCAAUCAUAAAAGGUGGCUUUUAGCUACCACUUGCAGAUGGACCCGCGGCGCAUUAGCUAGUUGGUGAGGUAACGGCUCACCAAGGCGACGAUGCGUAGCCGACCUGAGAGGGUGAUCGGCCACACUGGGACUGAGACACGGCCCAGACUCCUACGGGAGGCAGCAGUAGGGAAUCUUCCGCAAUGGACGAAAGUCUGACGGAGCAACGCCGCGUGAGUGAUGAAGGUUUUCGGAUCGUAAAACUCUGUUGUUAGGGAAGAACAAGUACCGUUCGAAUAGGGCGGUACCUUGACGGUACCUAACCAGAAAGCCACGGCUAACUACGUGCCAGCAGCCGCGGUAAUACGUAGGUGGCAAGCGUUGUCCGGAAUUUUUGGGCGUAAAGCGCGCGCAGGCGGUUUCUUAAGUCUGAUGUGAAAGGCCCCGGCUCAACCGGGGAGGGUCAUUGGAAACUGGGGAACUUGAGUGCAGAAGAGGAGAGUGGAAUUCCACGU